AUUCCAGCUCCAAUAGCGUAAAUUAAUGUUGUUGUAGUUAAAAAGCUCGUAGUUGGAUUUCUGGUCGGGACGUCUGGCCGGCUCCGCAAGGGGUCGUUGCAUUGACUGUACUCGUCCAUCCUCAGGUUGACUAGCUCUGGUAUUUAUUUAUCGGUGUUAGAACGCCUGUCGUUUACUGUGAACAAAUUAGAGUGUUCAAAGCAAGGUGUACUUGAAUACAUUAGCAUGGAAUAAUAAGAUAGGACUUUGGUGGUUCUUUUUGAUAUUUUGUUGGUUUGCACGCCAAGGUAAUGAUUAAUAGGAGCAGUUGGGGGUAUUCGUAUUCAAUUGUCAGAGGUGAAAUUCUUGGAUUUAUAGAAGACGAACUACUGCGAAAGCAUUUACCAAGGAUGUUUUCAUUA
This 401-nucleotide ribosomal RNA is filed under the name Pedinellales sp. Its description in RNAcentral is "partial small subunit ribosomal RNA". It matches the Rfam family "Eukaryotic small subunit ribosomal RNA", at positions 582 to 975 of the family's 1831-position model. Lineage: Eukaryota; Dictyochophyceae; Pedinellales. The record is from RNAcentral.